GAUGAACGCUGGCGGCGUGCCUAAUACAUGCAAGUCGAGCGAAUGGAUUAAGAGCUUGCUCUUAUGAAGUUAGCGGCGGACGGGUGAGUAACACGUGGGUAACCUGCCCAUAAGACUGGGAUAACUCCGGGAAACCGGGGCUAAUACCGGAUAACAUUUUGAACCGCAUGGUUCGAAAUUGAAAGGCGGCUACGGCUGUCACUUAUGGAUGGACCCGCGUCGCAUUAGCUAGUUGGUGAGGUAACGGCUCACCAAGGCAACGAUGCGUAGCCGCACUGGGAGGGGGAUCGGCCACACUGGGACUGAGACACGGCCCAGACUCCUACGGGAGGCAGCAGUAGGGAAUCUUCCGCAAUGGACGAAAGUCUGACGGAGCAACGCCGCGUGAGUGAUGAAGGCUUUCGGGUCGUAAAACUCUGUUGUUAGGGAAGAACAAGUGCUAGUUGAAUAAGCUGGCACCUUGACGGUACCUAACCAGAAAGCCACGGCUAACUACGUGCCAGCCGCCGCAGUAA
Molecule: ribosomal RNA, 515 nt
Filed under: uncultured bacterium
Lineage: Bacteria
Description: partial 16S ribosomal RNA
Rfam family: Bacterial small subunit ribosomal RNA
Source: RNAcentral